Molecule: ribosomal RNA, 720 nt
Filed under: uncultured anaerobic ammonium-oxidizing bacterium
Lineage: Bacteria
Description: bacterial SSU rRNA
Rfam family: Bacterial small subunit ribosomal RNA
Source: RNAcentral
GAGCACGUAGGUGGGUUUGUAAGUCAGAUGUGAAAGCCUUCUGUUCAACGGGAGAAUUGCAUCUGAAACUACAGACCUUGAGUAUAGGAGGGGAGAAUGGAACUUCUGGUGGAGCGGUGAAAUGCGUAGAUAUCAGAAGGAACGCCGGCGGCGAAAGCGAUCCUCUGGCCUAUUACUGACACUCAGUGUGCGAAAGCUAGGGGAGCAAACGGGAUUAGAUACCCCGGUAGUCCUAGCCGCAAACGAUGGGCACUAAGUAGAGGGAAUUACCGAUGUUCUCUCUGCCGUAGCUAACGCAUUAAGUGCCCCGCCUGGGGAGUACGGCCGCAAGGCUAAAACUCAAAAGAAUUGACGGGGGCUCGCACAAGCGGUGGAGCAUGUGGCUUAAUUCGAUGCAACGCGAAAAACCUUACCGGGGCUUGACAUGGUAGAAGUAGGAACCCGAAAGGGUAACGAACGGUAUCCAGUCCGUAGCUAUCACAGGUGUUGCAUGGCUGUCGUCAGCUCGUGUCGUGAGACGUUGGGUUAAGUCCCCUAACGAGCGAAACCCUUGUUUUUAGUUACCAGCGGGUUGUGCCGGGUACUCUAGAAAGACUGCCGUCGUCAAGACGGAGGAAGGUGGGGAUGACGUCAAGUCAUCAUGGCCCUUAUGCCCCGGGCUGCACACGUGCUACAAUGGUCGGUACAAACGGAAGCGAAGCCGAGAGGUGAAGCGAAUCC